This is a long non-coding RNA of Lycium barbarum (goji berry), 543 nucleotides long. RefSeq lists it as uncharacterized. Lineage: Eukaryota; Viridiplantae; Streptophyta; Magnoliopsida; Solanales; Solanaceae. The record is from RefSeq and is a predicted model, not a curated record. The transcript has 3 exons.
AAGAACAUUCAAGAGAGAGAAAUUUGAGAGCAACAAACAAAGGCCAUUCGGCCAACUAAGAAAAAAAAAAUUGAACCAAAAAUUCCUUUCUUCUUGAAUCCUUACUAAGUUCAAGACCCUCUUCAACGUGGUAUAAUUUUUGAGGCAAGAAAACCACUUUUGUGACAAGUGCAAAAUUCUAUUCAAGUGGAAAAAGACAAGCAAGUUGGGACAAAUAAGCAUAGCUAAUAAGGCGUGGCACAGGUACACCCAGAUGAGUACGGGACUUUGCUAGAAGAUGCUUCAGCUAGAUUGGCAACUCCAUUUGCUCCUGGAGCGUUACCGAGUCAAAGUAUAUGUGCUGUAAUGUUUGUUCGAAGUUAGAGACUUUGCAGACAGAGUCGUGGGUAUAGUAUGUCGGUUUUGUAAGCGGCUCCAUCAGCCGAUAUGUCAUUUUGUAUUAUGUGAUAAACCCUGUAGGAUUACAUAUUUUGUCUGAUUCGAAAACAUUGAUGAAAGAAAGAUUUGAAAGCUUACUAUAUAUUUCACUACUAAUUAAUUUCA